AUUGAACGCUGGCGGCAGGCCUAACACAUGCAAGUCGGACGGUAGCACAGAGGAGCUUGCUCCUUGGGUGACGAGUGGCGGACGGGUGAGUAAUGUCUGGGGAUCUGCCCGAUAGAGGGGGACAACCACUGGAAACGGUGGCUAAUACCGCAUAACGUCGCAAGACCAAAGAGGGGGACCUUCGGGCCUCUCACUAUCGGAUGAACCCAGAUGGGAUUAGCUAGUAGGCGGGGUAAUGGCCCACCUAGGCGACGAUCCCUAGCUGGUCUGAGAGGAUGACCAGCCACACUGGAACUGAGACACGGUCCAGACUCCUACGGGAGGCAGCAGUGGGGAAUAUUGCACAAUAGGCGCAAGCCUGAUGCAGCCAUGCCGCGUGUAUGAAGAAGGCCUUCGGGUUGUAAAGUACUUUCAGCGGGGAGGAAGGCGAUGCGGUUAAUAACCGCGUCGAUUGACGUUACCCGCAGAAGAAGCACCGGCUAACUCCGUGCCAGCCGCCGCUGUAA
Molecule: ribosomal RNA, 506 nt
Filed under: uncultured bacterium
Lineage: Bacteria
Description: partial 16S ribosomal RNA
Rfam family: Bacterial small subunit ribosomal RNA
Source: RNAcentral